RNAcentral lists this unclassified non-coding RNA (289 nucleotides) under uncultured Coniosporium. RNAcentral describes it as "sequence contains ITS1". The stretch from base 1 to 105 matches the Rfam family "5.8S ribosomal RNA", at positions 50 to 154 of the family's 154-position model. The record is from RNAcentral. Lineage: Eukaryota; Fungi; Ascomycota.
GAAAUGCGAUAAGUAAUGUGAAUUGCAGAAUUCAGUGAAUCAUCGAAUCUUUGAACGCACAUUGCGCCCCCUGGCAUUCCGGGGGGCAUGCCUGUUCGAGCGUCAUUUAAACCUUCAAGCCCUGCUUGGUGUUGGGCGUUGGCCUGGUCGUAGGCCCGCCUGUAACUCCUUGACGGUGGUCGCUGGCCCAAGGCGUGACAGAAUCUCGCCCUGGGCGGCCGCCCUCCGUCAGGAAAUCCACAUACCAAAGUUUGACCUCGGAUCAGGUAGGGAUACCCGCUGAACUUAA